CUUGCUGAGACGUGAUAGCGCAACGUUCUUAGGAACGCCUAGUGAGUGAUACCAUGCUUCCAGGAAAAGCCACUAAGCUUCAGUUGAAUGAAGACCGUACCGUAAACCGACACAGGUGGGUAGGAUGAGAAUUCUAAGGCGCUUGAGAGAACUCAGGAGAAGGAACUCGGCAAAAUAGCACCGUAACUUCGGGAAAAGGUGUGCCCUUUGUAUGUGUAGCGCCUCGCGCGUGAAGCAGAAUAGGGUUGCAAUGAAAUGGUGGCUGCGACUGUUUAAUAAAAACAUAGCACUCUGCAAACACGAAAGUGGACGUAUAGAGUGUGACGCCUGCCCGGUGCCGGAAGGUUAAAUGAUGGGGUGCAAGCUCUUGAUUGAAGCCCCGGUAAACGGCGGCCGUAACAAUAACGGUCCUAAGGUAGCGAAAUUCCUUGUCGGGUAAGUUCCGACCUGCACGAAUGGCGUAACGAUGGCCACACUGUCUCCUCCUGGGACUCAGCGAAGUUGAAAUGUUUGUGAAGAUGCAAUCUCCCCGCGGCUAGACGGAAAGACCCCGUGCACCUUUACUGUAGCUUUACAUUGGACUUUGAUAACAUUUGUGUAGGAUAGGUGGGAGGCUUUGAAGUGGAUUCGCCAGAAUUCAUGGAGCCAACGUUGAAAUACCACCCUGAUGUUGUUGAGGUUCUAACCUAGAUCCAUUAUCUGGAUUGGGGACCGUGUAUGGUAGGCAGUUUGACUGGGGCGGUCUCCUCCCAAAUUGUAACGGAGGAGUACGAAGGUACGCUAGGUACGGUCGGAAAUCGUGCUGAUAGUGCAAUGGCAAAAGCGUGCUUGACUGCGAGACUGACAAGUCGAGCAGAUGCGAAAGCAGGUCAUAGUGAUCCGGUGGUCCUGUAUGGAAGGGCCAUCGCUCAACGGAUAAAAGGUACGCCGGGGAUAACAGGCUGAUUCCUCCCAAGAGUUCAUAUCGACGGGGGAGUUUGGCACCUCGAUGUCGGCUCAUCACAUCCUGGGGCUGUAGCCGGUCCCAAGGGUAUGGCUGUUCGCCAUUUAAAGUGGUACGUGAGCUGGGUUUAAAACGUCGUGAGACAGUUUGGUCCCUAUCUGCCGUGGGCGUUGGAAGUUUGAGUGGACCUGCUCCUAGUACGAGAGGACCGGAGUGGACGCACCUCUGGUGUACCGGUUAUGACGCCAGUCGUAUCGCCGGGUAGCUAUGUGCGGAGGAGAUAACCGCUGAAAGCAUCUAAGCGGGAAACUCUCCUCAAGAUGAGACUUCCCGAGGGUUUAACCCUCCUAAAGGUUCGUCGAAGACUACGACGUUGAUAGGUCGGGU
Molecule: ribosomal RNA, 1330 nt
Filed under: metagenome
Description: bacterial LSU rRNA
Rfam family: Bacterial large subunit ribosomal RNA
Source: RNAcentral